Chionomys nivalis (European snow vole) is the source of this 105-nucleotide small nuclear RNA. The record is from RefSeq and is a predicted model, not a curated record. Lineage: Eukaryota; Metazoa; Chordata; Mammalia; Rodentia; Cricetidae.
GUGCUCGCUUCAGCAGCACACAGCAAAUUGGAGCAAUACAGAGUGGAUUGGCACGGCCCCUGUGCAAAGGGUGACACACAAACUCGUUAAGUGUCCCAUUUAAAA